GAUGAACGCUGGCGGCGUGCCUAAUACAUGCAAGUCGAGCGAACAGACGAGGAGCUUGCUCCUCUGACGUUAGCGGCGGACGGGUGAGUAACACGUGGAUAACCUACCUAUAAGACUGGGAGAACUUCGGGAAGCCGGAGCUAAUACCGGAUAAUAUAUUGAACCGCAUGGUUCAAUAGUGAAAGACGGUUUUGCUGUCACUUAUAGAUGGAUCCGCGCCGCAUUAGCUAGUUGGUAAGGUAACGGCUUACCAAGGCGACGAUGCGUAGCCGACCUGAGGGGGUGAUCGGCCACACUGGAACUGAGACACGGUCCAGACUCCUACGGGAGGCAGCAGUAGGGAAUCUUCCGCAAUGGGCGAAAGCCUGACGGAGCAACGCCGCGUGAGUGAUGAAGGUCUUCGGAUCGUAAAACUCUGUUAUUAGGGAAGAACAAAUGUGUAAGUAACUAUGCACGUCUUGACGGUACCUAAUCAGAAAGCCACGGCUAACUACGUG
Molecule: ribosomal RNA, 497 nt
Filed under: uncultured bacterium
Lineage: Bacteria
Description: partial 16S ribosomal RNA
Rfam family: Bacterial small subunit ribosomal RNA
Source: RNAcentral